Homo sapiens (human) is the source of this 5991-nucleotide long non-coding RNA. RefSeq lists it as uncharacterized. The record is from RefSeq and is a predicted model, not a curated record. The transcript has 2 exons. NCBI's taxonomy places the organism in Eukaryota, Metazoa, Chordata, Mammalia, Primates, Hominidae.
GUAGCCACAUUUUAACAAAUAUAAGCAGGGGAAAGUUAAAUUAUCCAAAAUAGUAUCAUUUGAAUGUGUAAUUGGUAUGAAAAUUAAUGGCAUUUACAUUAAUUUCAAGAGCAUGUGUUUAGUUCAUUUUUUUUGGCGCUAAGCCUUUGAAAUCUGCUGUUUUAGGUUUACAUCUCAAUUCCAACGGGCCACAGAGCCUCAAAGUUACUAACACGAGUCUUAAAGUGACCUGUUUGCCACCACCAGGGAUUUGUGUUUCCCAUAUCACGGCAGGGAUGAUGCUAUGGGGCACGGGAGUGCUCAGAGGCCCCCACACCGCGGGCGCCAAGGCUUCAGUGUUCCACGAGGAAACCAUCGCGGACAUUAAGUUUGAAACAGAAAAAUCAGGGUCCCACCUCUGACAAAUUAUCUCCUUUAGCAUUUUCCAAGGAGGCCUUCAAUCUAAGUGUGUUAUUUUUAAGACGAUUCUUCUGACAGCAUAAGCAAUGUUUUGAUUCUACUUCCCAAAUAUCCUAAAAGCUUAGCAACACAACAAAAAAUGGAAGGGGGUGGCCAACACUUCAUUUCUUUUAAUGAACUCAAGUCUGUGAAACUGAACACAGAAACACAUGCUCCAAUGUUGGCAUUGGGGCCAUUCGCGCCAUCUGCUGGCCAGACCUAAGCACAACACCCGGCUCCUGGGGAAAGAAUCUUAGAGACAAGCAAGAUCUCCAGUCACUUGGUCUCUGGACCUUUUUGUCCCGCCUGUAUACCGACAGCACAGCCCCAUUGAGCAGGAGACUUCUCAUGGAUGUCAUCCUCACUGGCACUCGUAGUAGCAGCUACAUUCAAACUCCACAUCACGGGCCAGCCACAGGGGCACUUUUACGCUUUAACUCUUUGACUACUCACACAACCAUUAUGAUAGCUACUUUUAAUGUCUCCCAUUUUACAGAUGAGGUCACUGAGGCUCAGAGGGUUAAAUCACAGGCUUAAACAAAGGGUAAAUCACAUGUUAGCAAAGUUGGUGACAGAGUUGGAAUUGAAGGUGGGCAGUCCAAUUUCAAGUACAUGUUUUUUUGUUUUUUGAGACGGGGUCUCACUCUGUCGUGAUCUAGGCUCACUGCAAUCUCCACCUCCUGGGCUCAAGCACUUGAGCAAUUCUCACGCCUCAGCCUCCCCAGUAGCCGGGAUUACAGGCAGGUGCCACCGUGCCCAGCAAAUUUUUGUAUUUUUAGUAGAGACGGGUUUUGCCUUGUUGGCCAGGCUGGUGUGGAACUCUCGGCCUCAAGUGGCCCGCCUGCCUCGGCCUCCCAAAGUGCUGGGAUUACAGGCAUGAGCCACCGCACCCAGCCCCCUGUUCUUAAUUGCAAUGUUAUAAGGUUAUUUCAAAUAUAAUUAAUAUAAUCAUCCCUCCCAUUUUGGGGAGACCUCAAGUGCAGUUAUGGCUUAGUACUUGAGGUCACCGAAGCUAAGAACUCAUCCUAAACCAUACAAAAAGUGACAGGCACAGAGAAGAAUCCCACCCCAGGAUAUGAAAAUAUCUCAUACAUACAUAGAUUCUGUGAUUUUGUGUGGCUCCACUAAAAGAAACGCUCACUGCAACAACUACGUUCAUUUCACAACCUACGAAUGGGUCAUGAGUGAAUUCGGAAAAGGCUGGCUUAGGCACUCCCGAGUGUUCAAGAACAUGUGUUUAGUUCAUGUUUUAGAGUCUCUCCUCCAAAAGAGACGAAAAUUUUGGUUGAAUGAGAAAAACAAACAUUUCCUACAUGACUCAAUAAAAUUUCUUUGAGACAGGGUCUUGCUUUGUUGCCCAGGCUGGUCUGGAACUCCUGGCCUCAAGUGAUCCUCCCGCCUUGGCCUCCCAAAGUGCUGAGACUCCAGGCGUGAGCCACCACGCCUGGCCCUUGCUGUUUACCUUCUCUUGGUGGUGAUUUUCUGGUGAAAGUCAGCAAGCUCACUGCCAGCAGGCCAGGCACUUGCCGCAUCCUUUGUUCUUCCUCUGCCAGAGGAUCUCUGGUGUGAAGCUAACCCGAAAACGGGGUGAGGCAGGCGGGUUCAGCUGGCCCCUUUGACUGAGAGGGUUUUCACAGGCAGGCUCACAUGCACACGUGCACACACGUGAGCACAGGCUCACAGACAGGUGUCUCACACAAACCCACCACAGCUCCAUCCUGCUUCCAACCAAACAUGACAGGAACCGAGUGCACCUUCCUGUGCCCACCCUAAAUCCCUGCCACCUUGUUGCAGCAGCAUCUUUACACAAAGUUCUUCCCAUGAGGCCCUGUUCCCACAGUGAGGAACCAAGGAAGCGAUGUUACAACAAAGACUGGGAGGAAAGCCAGGCAAAACCAAGCAGAAAAUCAAGGGAAAGGUGAGUGUUCAUGGUGGCAUCCUGGUGGCAGGCAGAUGGCAGGUGUAUGUUCACUGCCAAAACCCUUUCCACUUUUGUGGAUGUUUUAAAAUUUUCAUAUGUUGGAAAAAAUUAAGUGAAAGAACACAAUUUGUCUUCUCCAUGAGGUUUAUAUACUUUACUUUCAACGAAAGCAGCUCUUAACAGGGUGUGCAGUCAAUAUUUAAUGGCAGGACGGCUUGACAUUUAGUGAAACAAAGAGCCAAGAUUACACUAGUAUCUCUUUGAAGUAGAAGAUGCCAUCAAACUUAUGAAUACUUAAUGAGCACCUACUGCAUGCAACUUACAGGUGCCUGCAAAGAUGCUGAAGUUUAAGAUGAAGAGUUCCUCUAAGACUUCAUAUGCAUUUUAGGAAACAUGAACAUAAAUAUUUGAAGAAGCUUAACGAUCUCAGUGAAUACUUCCUAGAUCCUCAUUAGCAAACAUGUAGUGUGCUUUUAUGCUUUAGGUCCUGGGCAGCAGAGAAAUGAGCCUGGGCCUCAUCUAGGGUUCACAUCCUGGUGGCAGCAGAGCUCCCUCCCAGGUUCUGACAGCCCAGUCCAAUCUUGGAUUUAUGCAAAUGUUUUAAAUUUGCCAAUUACAAAAACUAUCCCCUUGGGGAGGUGGCAAGGUCCCAUCCUGGGAAAGCGCACUCUAAAAGGCCUGCAAUUUAGACUCAUUUUCCACCCUAGCCCGUCACUAGGGGUGGUAAAAACAAUGAAACUCUGGCUAAGCUAAAGCUGAAUAUGAAAGUUGGCUGCUGAGAUAAUCAAGCUUCAAUCUCCCCUCACAGCAGUCUUAUGCUAGCUAGAUCUUCCCCACGUUGAUAAGACCACAGGCUUGAUUCAUAAAGUGAAGAGGAAAAUGAGCUGGAAACCGUUAACCUGAAAAUUCAGAUAUUUUUCUAGUGCACCUGCUUUUUUAUCUCUAAAAAAUAAGUUUUCGGGCUAAAAAAACAGGGCUGGAGAGUGGGUGGGUCUGAAUUCAUUGUGACCUACCAAAGAAUUUAAACCACUGAGUGCAGGUGGUCUCUUCCAGUAGAAAAUUUUAUUUUCAUUGUUUUUUAUGAGUAGGCAAACACAUCUUACAACACUAUCGAUACUAGAAUUUUACACUCAGCAAGUCAGACUUCACACAUUAGUCCAAACAGAAAGGCCUAAGAAGCAUUUGAGAUCACAGGUGAGAAAUACAGUGACAGACCCAAAAGUCACACUUUUUCUCAGCCCAGCUGAAUUUCAUUUUGAAUACUUACCAACCAGGAAUUUUAAAUUACACAAAAUACAAAAGAACAGCCAAACAACCACUACUGAGGGUUCAGGGCAAUUCCCAUGCAGGGGACCGGGGUGGGUAAGAGUUCAGGGCAAUUCCCAUGCAGGGGGCUUGGGUUCUAACUUGAAAGUCACGCAAGUGUCACCCACUUGGGCCUUAGGAGGUUACCCACAAAUGGCCUGUCACCCAGCACAAGUAACAGUCCCCAUUUGAGUCACUCGGAAAUCUGAGCAGCAAGGCCAGAAAGCACUGGGGAUUUUGAAGAUGGGAAUGAGGGAAGCAAGGAAAAACACAUUCAAACUCUGCCCACCAGGGCUCACAGAGGCUGCCGUUCCGCGCAGCAGAAGUGAGCGCAGCUGGGGACUCCCUUUCCCCUAAGGUUGCCGCAUUUCCCAGAGGGUGUCUGAAAUCUCAACUCAAAACCCCACGCUGAUGCUGGGCAGGACGCAUGUUCCUGAGGUUACGGGGUGGGCAAGGGGAGAAAAGGACAAAGGAAGCUCGGGAAGCAAUCUGCAAAAGACUUUAUUACAAAAUACAGCACGGGGCUCACAGACGCUUUUCCAAUAUUCUCUAACACGUACACUGAAGCGCUGCAAAAUCCCUGGCGGUGCCCGCAAUCUAACGUCUACAAUAACCUCAACCCCCUUAGUUACAGAAAAACUCUGCAACAGGCAGUGGAAUGGAGAGACGGCAAGUCGCCGCGGACGCCUGGGCUCUCAGCUGCUGAACAAUGACAUCGUUUUCUCCAGGGGUUGAAAUCCAUGUCCAUGGCUGACAACCCAACAAGGCUGGGACCCAAAUUCGUACAGAGAUGAGGCAGAGUGGAGAGAAACAACUCUGGCUGAGCCAGAGUCUCCAGCCACUACUUCUUAUUCCUGGGCUUUAGCUCUUCGGCUGCAUUACGCAGGAAAAUGUAAUUUUUUUUCUGGGGAUUAUAAAAUUCAUGUCCCUAAAGAGAGCAAAAAACACCAAUGAUCUUAUUAUUCAAAAGAAAGUUAGCAUUUGUAGGUGCUUUUUCUAGGUGAAGUCCUGUGCUACAAUACUGGAAACAUAUAAUCUCUCAGAGAAAUAAAACAACAAAGAUAAAGUCAAAUGCGAAGCAGAACUUCAGUCCUCAGAGAAAGGCCUAAGGAUGUGGUUGGUACCAGUGUGUCAUCAAUGUCCUACUGAGAGAGUCUGUGAGUAGGAACCUGUGAGUUCCUUUUCAACACUGAGCCCCCUUUUAACACCCCAGGACUUUAACGCCAGGAUAACUGCCUUGGGUCCCUUGGUCAGAAUUAGUUCUGACCUGAGAAUGCUUCACAGAAAGGAGGACAUCUGACCUGCGGGGUAUCAUGGGGAUGAAGGAGGACACCCCGCCCCACAUGGAAGGAGCAACAGACACGGAGCACAGCAGAGGCAUGAACGGUGGCAUGCCAAGAAAGCUCUAGAAGUUUUGCUCAACAGUGACCACUAAUUCUCAUAAUAUACAAAGUGUAGUUUUUCUGAACAGUAACUCAAGCAGCAAGCUAAUAACAUCAAUCAUAUGUGAUCAUGACUUUGCACUGGAGAUAACUGUCCUUGAACUAAGAACAAUGAAAAACCCCUGAAGCAAAUUUCUCUUUUAAACUAAAAAGAUGCUAAUUUAUGUAACCCCCACAAUAAGCUGACAUUAACUGCUUAAAUGAAUGAGAUUUUACUUCAAUUUUUAAACAGCACUCAAAGCAAUUACCUUUCUCACUGCUUUCAAUUUACUACAUUUUUUAACGCGUAUAACGUAUAGAGUCCCGCGUCAUUUAAGUUAAAAUGCAGAAUUUUGAUGCAGCUGCUGGGAUGAGUAUGCAAAGAGGAGAUUCAAUGAAGAGCCCGAUGUGGGAGCUGAGGCCUCGGGCUCCACGCACGCCACAGCCUGUCCACCCCCAGCCAGGCAGAACCAAAAAAGUACACUCUUGUCACAAAACUGAGUGCAUGGCUUACACAGGUGAAUGGAUAAACAAAUGGCACACCCCACCCGGGAAUACUACCCAGCACUGAAAAGUAACGGACAAGUGAUUCACUCAACAGCAUGGGUGAAUUUCAAAAUCCUUAUGCUGAGGGAAAGAAGCUGGGGCGAGGGGAAAAUGUAGCGUAGGGCUCCACUUAUAUAAAAUUCUAGAAAAUUCAGACUAGUCCAUAAUGCCAGAAAACAGAUCCAUGGUUUUGUGUGUGCGUAAGGGAAGAUUACAGUAAUAUACACAAAAACCUUUCGGGGAGAUGACUAUGGUGAUAGUUUCAUGGGUAUUUACAGAUGUUGAAACUGAUCAAAUUGUACACUUUAAACAAUGACUGUAUUUCAAUUGUACCUCAAUAAAGUUGCUUUAAAAAAAGAA